CAAUGCAUGCUUUUACAGUAUGAAAAUUGGUGAUUUAUAAUAACUUAGCAAAUCGCAUAGUGAAAACAGGCGAUAAAUCAUUCAAGUUUCUGACCUAUCAGCUUUCGACGGUAUGGUAUUGGCUUACCGUGGCAGUGACGGUUAACGGGGGAUUAGGGUUCGAUUCCGGAGAGGGAGCCUGAGAAACGGCUACCACAUCUAAGGAAGGCAGCAGGCGCGCAAAUUACCCAAUUCUAACAGUUUGAGAGAGGUAGUAACAAGAAAUAACAAUACAAGGCAGUUAAAAUGCUUUGUAAUUGGAAUGAUAGAAAUUUAAACCCUUUUUAAAGUAUCAAUUGGAGGGCAAGUCUGGUGCCAGCAGCCGCGGUAAUUCCAGCUCCAAUAGCGUAUAUUAAAAUUGUUGCAGUUAAAAAGCUCGUAGUUGAAGUUCUGCUAAAAGUAACCGGUCUGCUUUGAAUAAAAGUGGUAUCUUGGUAUGUAUUUAGCAAUGAUGUCCUUUGAAGUGUUUUUUACUUUAUUGUAAUAAAGCAUAUUCAGGACUUUUACUUUGAGAAAAUUAGAGUGUUUCUAGCAGGCCAACGCUUUGAAUACUGCAGCAUGGAAUAAUAAG
RNAcentral lists this ribosomal RNA (610 nucleotides) under Hepatozoon canis. Its description in RNAcentral is "SSU rRNA". It matches the Rfam family "Eukaryotic small subunit ribosomal RNA", at positions 223 to 821 of the family's 1831-position model. Lineage: Eukaryota; Apicomplexa; Hepatozoidae. The record is from RNAcentral.